RNAcentral lists this ribosomal RNA (265 nucleotides) under uncultured archaeon. Its description in RNAcentral is "partial 16S ribosomal RNA". It matches the Rfam family "Archaeal small subunit ribosomal RNA", at positions 719 to 982 of the family's 1478-position model. The record is from RNAcentral.
AGUCACUGACAUUAGAUACCCGGGUAGUCCAGGGUGUAAACGCUGCCCGACUUGGUGUUGGAGGCCCUUUGGGGGCAUUCAGUGCCGGAGAGAAGUUGUUAAGUCUGCUACUUGGGGAGUACGUCCGCAAGGAUGAAACUUAAAGGAAUUGGCGGGGGAGCACCGCAACGGGAGGAGCGUGCGGUUUAAUUGGAUUCAACACCGUAAACUCACCAGGGAAGACUGUUACAUGAAGGCCGAGAUGAAGACUCUGCUAGAUUUUCAG